Molecule: long non-coding RNA, 1142 nt
Organism: Beta vulgaris subsp. vulgaris (sugar beet)
Lineage: Eukaryota; Viridiplantae; Streptophyta; Magnoliopsida; Caryophyllales; Amaranthaceae
Exons: 2
Source: RefSeq, a predicted model, not a curated record
CUGGUUGUUGCACGUUGGAUUAGAUUUCAAUAAAAGCAGACGUUUACCAGAUGACUUUGACUGUAAAAAAUUCCACCCCGUCUUUCCACUUAGCCCAGCGCAAUUAUUGUCAGUGUCAUUUUCUUGAGAAAGUCGAUGCAUCUACUUGUGCGAUACAAGAUUGAUGUCUUACACGGUUAUAUUAAGAAAAAAAAUAUGUAUCUCAUAUUUUGUAUAUAUAUCACUUGUGUUUCCAUCUAGAAUCUAGUCAAGGUUGAGAGUGGUGUUGAUUGUGUUGAAAGUGUACAGUCCAAGAAAGUUCAAAGCUGCAAUAAUAAUAACUCCGACGAUACUGCAUUUUAAAUCUUAGUGAAAGCUGGAGCAAUGGCGAAAGGUUCAAAAAGGGGGAAGGGCGGGAAGAAGAACAAUCAAAGGUCGAAUAAGAAUAAGGGUCAGUGUAAGCCACAAUCGAUGGAUGCAAGGAAAAAGAACAUCAUAAAUGAAAUUCAAGAUGUUGUAGCACCCAGUUGGACAUCGGAUGAGGAAAAUGAAGUUGAAUCCCAUGCUUCAUUCGAUGUUGCAGCUUCCAAUGUGGAUCGGGCGAACUUUGAAGCAGCAAGAAGUCAGGUAGAAAUUAGAAAACAUCUCCUCAAGUUGUUCGUCAAGCUGUUUUCCCCAUCUUCUUCGUCAAGCUGUUCCUCAAUUGGUGAAUCCAUCUCCUCACCCUAUGCAACAACUUCUCAGUAAUCCAUGUAAUAAUAAUUGGAGGAAGGAAUUGAUUUAUCUGCGCUGCUGCUAUGUCCUUAUUCGCGUUCUCCUUUGUUCGUGUCCUGCUACCGCGGUGCUGCCGUUGUUACUUGCAGUUGGUUGCUGCUGUCCUUUGCCGCGACGAACCGCUGGAGCUCAGCUCCCCUUCUGUGCUUUGUUUCGUCCAUGCUCAAGUAGAGCAGAGGUUUGGUAUCAAGAGCUCGGGAAUAGAAGUGAAGCGAGAUUAUGAUGUUGUCGUAGAUUAUGGAUUAAGUUUGUAUUUUAGAUAGUUGAUUCGAGAAUAGUUAUCGGUAUUUCAUUGUAUAUAAUUUUUGGGAAUAUUAGUCGAGUUAUUGGUGUAAUUAAGGUUGUUUUUCCGCUGCGAAGUAAUUUAAUUAAGAGUUAAUUGUUGUUUA